AUACGUAGGGGGCGAGCGUUGUCCGGAAUUACUGGGCGUAAAGGGCGCGUAGGCGGCGCUUCAAGUCGUCUGUCAAAUGGGAGGGCUUAACCCUUUUUCGCAGACGAAACUGGAGAGCUUGAGAAGCAGAGAGGCAAACAGAAUUCCUGGUGUAGCGGUGAAAUGCGUAGAUAUCAGGAAGAAUACCAGUGGCGAAGGCGGUUUGCUGGCUGCAUACUGACGCUGAAGCGCGAAAGCCAGGGGGGCAAACGGGAUUAGAUACCCCGGUAGUCCUGGCAGUAAACGAUGUAUGCUGGGUGUGAGACUAGCGAUAGUUUCGUGCCGAAGUUAACGCGAUAAGCAUACCGCCUGGGGAGUACGGUCGCAAGAUUGAAACUCAAAUGAAUUGGCGGGG
RNAcentral lists this ribosomal RNA (394 nucleotides) under uncultured bacterium. RNAcentral describes it as "partial 16S ribosomal RNA". It matches the Rfam family "Bacterial small subunit ribosomal RNA", at positions 523 to 918 of the family's 1533-position model. The record is from RNAcentral.